CGGCCCUGGGGGAGGGGGACACUUCAUUUCUUCGCCAGAUCUGGAUCCCGGGGACGACGUCGGGUCGCUAUGCAAGGCGGUGGCCUGCGGGAAGGGGAACUGCACGGUGACAGAAGUAUGUCGGAAGGAUUCCAGAUCCACCUUGCCUGAUCCUUGGGGAAGAUCCUGGUCAUGAUGAAGAUGCUAGUGACCAAGUGUUAGAAGACGAACACGAAGGGAUAACAACAAGAGGACCAUAAUUCAUGUGUUCCUGUCAAGGAUUAAUUCCCAGUCCCUUUUUACAGUUCAUCAUCCAUUGCUAGGGAAGCUUUUGUC
Long non-coding RNA from Hordeum vulgare subsp. vulgare (domesticated barley), 315 nucleotides. RefSeq lists it as uncharacterized. The record is from RefSeq and is a predicted model, not a curated record. The transcript is spliced from 3 exons. Lineage: Eukaryota; Viridiplantae; Streptophyta; Magnoliopsida; Poales; Poaceae.